Molecule: ribosomal RNA, 210 nt
Filed under: Acinetobacter pittii
Lineage: Bacteria; Pseudomonadati; Pseudomonadota; Gammaproteobacteria; Moraxellales; Moraxellaceae
Description: partial 16S ribosomal RNA
Rfam family: Bacterial small subunit ribosomal RNA
Source: RNAcentral
UAACUGAAGAGUUUGAUCAUGGCUCAGAUUGAACGCUGGCGGCAGGCUUAACACAUGCAAGUCGAGCGGAGAGAGGUAGCUUGCUACUGAUCUUAGCGGCGGACGGGUGAGUAAUGCUUAGGAAUCUGCCUAUUAGUGGGGGACAACAUUUCGAAAGGAAUGCUAAUACCGCAUACGUCCUACGGGAGAAAGCAGGGGAUCUUCGGACCU